This 2497-nucleotide long non-coding RNA is filed under the name Vigna radiata. RNAcentral describes it as "long non-coding RNA (VRAD_LNC001493)". The record is from RNAcentral. Lineage: Eukaryota; Viridiplantae; Streptophyta; Magnoliopsida; Fabales; Fabaceae.
UGGAUAUUUUUUUACAUGGUUAUCAGUGUUGAAAGAGCUAAACGAACGCCUAACAAUUUUGUCCCACCUAUUAACUCUGCCACACGCAUACAAACAAGCACAUACACCCAAAGAAACGUGUGCACAUAAUUUCCACCAAAUACCUAUUACAGAGAGUUUCUGUAUCAAUAAGCAGAGUCUUUUGUAGUAGUUGAGUGAGUAGAAAUUAGAAAGCUACUCUUGUCUCUAUCGUGGCAGCAACAUACCCUAAUACUCACUGCGAUGAACAUUUCCUGCAGUAAAAUUAUAUAAUGAGUUUCAUAAUCAGAUAACAUCUUAGGUACAUAAACCAUAAAGGGUUGUGUUAUUAUAUGAGCCAGAUGUUUAGCCCACCAUAUUGAGCAAAUUUAAGGAAGAAAAAUAAAAACUGUGACUAGCUCAAGGAUAUGACUGUUUUUGAUUUGUCUUCUGGGGCUGCUUUUCAUUGUGUUGUCCAUUAUGACAAGGUUCAAGGAUAAGAGGGAAAAAUCGAAAACAAACAAAGGAAGGAGUAAUGUAGAAUGGUCUAAUUUAUAUGUGUAACUUACUUGUUAUACACGUAAAAUACUUUUGAGAAGGAGAAUUGUAUACUGUGAAUGAGAGAUUUAAGCAUGUUGGUGACAGUUAAUGUGUGAUUCAUUUUGGUUUUGAGGGCAUGGUGUAAUAAAACUGAAGUCCAACAAAGGUGGAGAGUGAAGAGGACAUGUUGAUUCAAACAUAUAUACAUAGGUUUGUAUGUUUUUCUAACUAUGUACAGGGGAAAGCACUUUCCACAUUCCUAGACAAGUUAGGCAAACCACAAAAGAUUUUGUGUGGAAAAUGCAGAAGCUGGUUCUUUUUGGAAGGAAAUUAAUGGUGGGGAAUAAUUUUUAUUUAUUGUUUUGGAAAUUGUUGAUUGAAGUAAAAAGCGGGGAAAUCACAAUCUGAAUGUGUCUUGAAAAGGGUAUUUUUCAAAGAGGAAGAGUUUUGAUUCAUACAAUGAGCCAAAUCCACAACACCUAACCAAGAAGUGGGAAACCACAAGCAGCCACGUAGGUUAACGAAAUUCAACUGUGACAUCACUUUUCCAUGCCAUGACAUGCUUCCAGCUUCUCCUUUUCUUUAUAAAAAGGAUUUGGAUUCAGCUUCCAUUAACAAACCCCACCAAGCCACAAACACACCCUCUUCUUCUUUCUUUCUUUCUUUCUGUCCCUCAAACACAACACAACCAGAGAACAGACACACACAAAGGAACAAACAAGGUUAGAAACUGAGAUGGAGAGCAGUGACACAUACACCCCUACUUCCUCUGCUCCACUUUCUCACUCCCCCACUUCCUCUUCUUCUUCACCACCACCUCCUCCACCUCCCACUGUUGUCAUGAGCCCUUGUGCUGCAUGCAAGAUUUUGAGGAGAAGAUGUGCUGAGAAAUGUGUUCUGGCACCGUAUUUCCCUCCCACUGAACCUGCAAAGUUUACCAUUGCUCACCGUGUGUUUGGUGCCAGCAACAUCAUCAAGUUCCUACAGGUUCUGCUCACAUCACCCUUUAAAAUCAUACUUGUUUGAUUCCCUGUCUUCAAUCUAAACCAAAUCAAAAACGUUUUUCAACAUGUUUCUGCUAUCCGAAGUCUGUGUGUAAGAUAUCGUGGUACAUGUUAAUUAAUUCCUUCAUAUGCAUUAUUAAUUUUCACAAAAUUAAGCAUUCAUCUUUCAGAUCACGGAGUUCCAACAAGAUUUUAGGAAACUCUCCAUUUUUGUACUCUAUCACCCGACAAAGCAUCCUCUGCACACACACACACACAAUAUACACAGUAUUCACUUCUAGCCUCUGAAAAUAAUCUCUCCUUCAUAAAAAGAAAAAAAAAAAAAAAAAACUGUCUUUUCUCUUUCUUUUUAUUUGUGAAAAGUGAUGACAGAUAACAUAUUUUUACACAUGAUGAGUAAACAGUUUUCUUCAUAGAUUCAAAACAAAAAUUACUUUAUAAGAAGUAACAUACUUGAUUUUUGUAAAAAGUAUUCCCUACUUUAGCAGUGAAACUUGAAAAGUAAAAGGAACUAAAGACUAAUUAUGCCAAGCUUCUGACUUUAAUUGUUUUUUCUAAGGUCAAUGAGGCCCUUUACCCGAUUAGAUGAAAUGGAGCAUAGUGUUCCAAUACGAUAACAAAUGCGUUAUCAACCACCUACUUUUAACAAACACCUGGUGGGGUCUCCAAGUGGUGAUAUUCAUUUAACAAUCUUCUGUAUUCCAAGUCUCGGUCUUUGAUAAGUCUUUAAAAAUGAAAUCUGAGAUCUAGAAGCAAUCAACAGAUACCUAAUUUUGGAACCAAUAAAUGCUUUUGUCAAGCUUUUCCAUUUCAUCAUCUAAACAUGUUGUUGCACAUACCUUUCAGGAACUUCCAGAGUCUCAGAGGGCUGAUGCAGUGACCAGCAUGGUUUACGAGGCCAGUGCAAGAAUAAGAGACCCUGUUUAUGGCUGUGCAGGAGCAAUCUGCCAGCUCCA